This 994-nucleotide long non-coding RNA is filed under the name Homo sapiens (human). RNAcentral's name for it is "HSALNT0375939". The record is from RNAcentral. Lineage: Eukaryota; Metazoa; Chordata; Mammalia; Primates; Hominidae.
CGGAUGUUGGCCUGCCAGGUAAUGUCCCUCCAUUUGCAUCUUGUUUUUUCUAUCUAUGUAGCCAUGGAGAACACGUGCCACAAUUUACAGGGGAUGGUCAUCUUAUCUGUAAAAUAAAGUGUUCCCGUCAGAUGAUCCCCAGUAUGCUGAGUUGUGUUUCUCUGGGAGCAGCCAAGGUGAAGUUUUCAACCAGGCCGACCAACUUCAGAGUCCACUGGCUUCAAAACAGUGCUUUACAUCCUCCUUCCAACAUUAUUCACAAGCCGAUCAAGACUGAGAGAGUCACAAGUGUGUGAAACCUGUAUUCUUUCUGACUUCAUUUUCCCUGGUCGAAAUUUUUGUAGAAUAGACAAAUCAAGAAUGAUGACUUCUUAAGAUGCAGUAUUCAAGUUCAGAAAUCUAUACUCAGAUGACCUUAUGUAGGUCAUCUGCUUCUGAGGUUUAUCUCACCAGUGGUUUUCUUCUGAUUGCCAAGUGUUCUUUUUACCCCCAACAGGCAUCCUGACUCAAGCUGUAUACAUUUGCAAUAUCUGAUUUUUAACCACACACUCUUCAUCCUAUUGACCCAGAGUGAAAAUUGAUACUCUUAGCUGAAGGACUGUUCCCUUGAGUAUAUUUAAACCAGACCAAUCUCUGUGUUUAAUCUGGGUUCAUCAGGAACCAUUAGCCUUGAUUGGUUUGUUUUUCUCCCCCUCCAUCUCAGGACUUGAUUCUAUUGAGUUAACAACUAUUCUCCCCAGAGAACAGCUACCGCAAGCCUGUUUCAAGUAAUUCCAAUAUCUGGCUCUUAGAAAUUGAACUGAUCUUUUUUUUCUUUAGUUUUAUGUGAAGAACUGCAGUAAUGAAUUCUGAAUUUGUUCAAAUCAUUGAAGAUGUGUGAAGACAAAACAUUCACUCAAAUCUCUAUCAUGUUAGCAUGUUAUUUAUCAUUGCUCUGUUCUUCAUUGUUGAAUAAUGCAAUUGAGUUAAAAAGAAUAAACAUUAUUUACCGAAG